GUUGUAUGGUUAAGUGACUAAGCGUACACGGUGGAUGCCUUGGCAGUCAGAGGCGAUGAAAGACGUAGUAACUUGCGAUAAGCCCAGAUUAGGUAGUAACAACCAUUUGAGUCUGGGAUUUCUGAAUGGGGAAACCCACUUACAUAAGUAAGUAUCAUUAACUGAAUACAUAGGUUAAUGAGGCGAACCGGGGGAACUGAAACAUCUAAGUACCCCGAGGAAAAGAAAUCAACCGAGAUUCCGAAAGUAGCGGCGAGCGAAAUUGGACUAGCCCUUAAGCUUUACACGCGUUAGACGAACGGUCUGGAAAGUCCGACGAUACAGGGUGAUAGUCCCGUAGUUGACGACGUGUGUUCAGUGAAAUCGAGUAGGGCGGGACACGUGAUAUCCUGUCUGAAUAUGGGGGGACCAUCCUCCAAGGCUAAAUACUACUGACUGACCGAUAGUGAACCAGUACCGUGAGGGAAAGGCGAAAAGAACCCCUGUGAGGGGAGUGAAAUAGAACCUGAAACCGUGUACGUACAAGCAGUAGGAGCAGGCUUUGUCCUGUGACUGCGUACCUUUUGUAUAAUGGGUCAGCGACUUAUAUUCAGUGGCAAGGUUAACCAUCUAGGGGAGCCGUAGGGAAACCGAGUCUUAACUGGGCGUUCAGUCUCUGGAUAUAGACCCGAAACCAGGUGAUCUAGCCAUGGGCAGGUUGAAGGUUGAGUAACAUCAACUGGAGGACCGAACCGACUAAUGUUGAAAAAUUAGCGGAUGACUUGUGGCUAGGGGUGAAAGGCCAAUCAAACCUGGAGAUAGCUGGUUCUCCCCGAAAGCUAUUUAGGUAGCGCCUCGGACGAAUACUACUGGGGGUAGAGCACUGUUAAGGCUAGGGGGUCAUCCCGACUUACCAACCCUUUGCAAACUCCGAAUACCAGUAAGUACUAUCCGGGAGACACACGGCGGGUGCUAACGUCCGUCGUGGAGAGGGAAACAACCCAGACCGCCAGCUAAGGUCCCAAAUUACUACUAAGUGGGAAACGAUGUGGGAAGGCUCAGACAGCCAGGAUGUUGGCUUAGAAGCAGCCAUCAUUUAAAGAAAGCGUAAUAGCUCACUGGUCGAGUCGGCCUGCGCGGAAGAUGUAACGGGGCUAAGUAGUAAACCGAAGCUGCGGCAAUGUGCUUUUGCACAUUGGGUAGGGGAGCGUUCUGUAAGCGGUUGAAGGUGUGUGGUAACGCAUGCUGGACGUAUCAGAAGUGCGAAUGCUGACAUGAGUAACGAUAAAGGGGGUGAAAAACCUCCUCGCCGGAAGACCAAGGGUUCCUGUCCAACGUUAAUCGGGGCAGGGUAAGUCGACCCCUAAGGCGAGGCCGAAAGGCGUAGUCGAUGGGAAACGGGUUAAUAUUCCCGUACUUCUUACAAUUGCGAUGGGGGGACGGAGAAGGCUAGGUGGGCCUGGCGACGGUUGUCCAGGUUCAAGUGCGUAGGCUUAAGAGUUAGGUAAAUCCGGCUCUUUUUAAGGCUGAGACACGACGUCGAGCACCUACGGGUGUGAAGUCAUUGAUGCCAUGCUUCCAGGAAAAGCCUCUAAGCUUCAGAUUGUAAGGAAUCGUACCCCAAACCGACACAGGUGGUCGGGUAGAGAAUACCAAGGCGCUUGAGAGAACUCGGGUGAAGGAACUAGGCAAAAUGGUACCGUAACUUCGGGAGAAGGUACGCUCUCGACGGUGAAGUCCCUUGCGGAUGGAGCUAUUGAGAGUCGCAGAUACCAGGUGGCUGCAACUGUUUAUUAAAAACACAGCACUGUGCAAAAUCGUAAGAUGACGUAUACGGUGUGACGCCUGCCCGGUGCCGGAAGGUUAAUUGAUGGGGUUAGACUUCGGUCGAAGCUCUUGAUCGAAGCCCCGGUAAACGGCGGCCGUAACUAUAACGGUCCUAAGGUAGCGAAAUUCCUUGUCGGGUAAGUUCCGACCUGCACGAAUGGCGUAAUGAUGGCCACGCUGUCUCCACCCGAGACUCAGUGAAAUUGAAAUCGCUGUGAAGAUGCAGUGUACCCGCGGCUAGACGGAAAGACCCCGUGAACCUUUACUACAGCUUGGCACUGAACAUUGACCCUACAUGUGUAGGAUAGGUGGGAGGCUUUGAAGCACGUACGCCAGUAUGUGUGGAGCCGUCCUUGAAAUACCACCCUUGUAGUGUUGAUGUUCUAACGUCGACCCCUAAUCGGGGUUGCGGACAGUGCCUGGUGGGUAGUUUGACUGGGGCGGUCUCCUCCCAAAGAGUAACGGAGGAGCACGAAGGUGGGCUAAUCACGGUUGGACAUCGUGAGGUUAGUGCAAUGGCAUAAGCCCGCUUGACUGCGAGAAUGACAAUUCGAGCAGGUGCGAAAGCAGGUCAUAGUGAUCCGGUGGUUCUGAAUGGAAGGGCCAUCGCUCAACGGAUAAAAGGUACUCCGGGGAUAACAGGCUGAUACCGCCCAAGAGUUCAUAUCGACGGCGGUGUUUGGCACCUCGAUGUCGGCUCAUCACAUCCUGGGGCUGAAGUCGGUCCCAAGGGUAUGGCUGUUCGCCAUUUAAAGUGGUACGCGAGCUGGGUUUAGAACGUCGUGAGACAGUUCGGUCCCUAUCUGCCGUGGGCGUUGGAAGAUUGAAGGGGGCUGCUCCUAGUACGAGAGGACCGGAGUGGACGAACCUCUGGUGUUCGGGUUGUGUCGCCAGACGCAUUGCCCGGUAGCUAAGUUCGGAAUCGAUAACCGCUGAAAGCAUCUAAGCGGGAAGCGAGCCCUGAGAUGAGUCUUCCCUGAUACUUUAAGUAUCCUAAAGGGUUGUCGGAGACUACGACGUUGAUAGGUCAGGUGUGUAAGUGCUGUGAGGCAUUGAGCUAACUGAUACUAAUUGCCCGUGAGGCUUAACCAUACAACACCCAAGGGGUUU
Molecule: ribosomal RNA, 2916 nt
Filed under: Vibrio parahaemolyticus
Lineage: Bacteria; Pseudomonadati; Pseudomonadota; Gammaproteobacteria; Vibrionales; Vibrionaceae
Description: 23S ribosomal RNA
Rfam family: Bacterial large subunit ribosomal RNA
Source: RNAcentral